This 741-nucleotide ribosomal RNA is filed under the name uncultured bacterium. RNAcentral describes it as "bacterial SSU rRNA". It matches the Rfam family "Bacterial small subunit ribosomal RNA", at positions 8 to 796 of the family's 1533-position model. The record is from RNAcentral.
AGAGUUUGAUCCUGGCUCAGACGAACGCUGGCGGCAGGCUUAACACAUGCAAGUCGAACGGGCCCUUCGGGGUCAGUGGCAGACGGGUGAGUAACACGUGGGAACGUGCCCUUCGGUUCGGAACAACUCAGGGAAACUUGAGCUAAUACCGGAUACGCCCUUCGGGGGAAAGAUUUAUCGCUGAAGGAUCGGCCCGCGUCUGAUUAGCUAGUUGGUGAGGUAAUGGCUCACCAAGGCGACGAUCAGUAGCUGGUCUGAGAGGAUGAUCAGCCACACUGGGACUGAGACACGGCCCAGACUCCUACGGGAGGCAGCAGUGGGGAAUAUUGGACAAUGGGCGCAAGCCUGAUCCAGCCAUGCCGCGUGAGUGAUGAAGGCCUUAGGGUUGUAAAGCUCUUUCGUCCGGGACGAUAAUGACGGUACCGGAAGAAGAAGCCCCGGCUAACUUCGUGCCAGCAGCCGCGGUAAUACGAAGGGGGCUAGCGUUGCUCGGAAUCACUGGGCGUAAAGGGCGCGUAGGCGGCCAUUCAAGUCAGAGGUGAAAGCCCAAGGCUCAACCUUGGAAUUGCCUUUGAUACUGUUUGGCUUGAGACCGGAAGAGGUAAGUGGAACUGCGAGUGUAGAGGUGAAAUUCGUAGAUAUUCGCAAGAACACCAGUGGCGAAGGCGGCUUACUGGUCCGGUUCUGACGCUGAGGCGCGAAAGCGUGGGGAGCAAACAGGAUUAGAUACCCUAGUAGUCC